This 675-nucleotide ribosomal RNA is filed under the name Glutamicibacter nicotianae. RNAcentral's name for it is "bacterial SSU rRNA". It matches the Rfam family "Bacterial small subunit ribosomal RNA", at positions 59 to 747 of the family's 1533-position model. The record is from RNAcentral. Lineage: Bacteria; Bacillati; Actinomycetota; Actinomycetes; Micrococcales; Micrococcaceae.
CAGUCGAACGAUGAAGCCCAGCUUGCUGGGUGGAUUAGUGGCGAACGGGUGAGUAACACGUGAGUAACCUGCCCCCGACUCUGGGAUAAGCCCGGGAAACUGGGUCUAAUACCGGAUAUGACCUCGCACCGCAUGGUGCGGGGUGGAAAGAUUUAUCGGUGGGGGAUGGACUCGCGGCCUAUCAGCUUGUUGGUGAGGUAAUGGCUCACCAAGGCGACGACGGGUAGCCGGCCUGAGAGGGUGACCGGCCACACUGGGACUGAGACACGGCCCAGACUCCUACGGGAGGCAGCAGUGGGGAAUAUUGCACAAUGGGCGAAAGCCUGAUGCAGCGACGCCGCGUGAGGGAUGACGGCCUUCGGGUUGUAAACCUCUUUCAGUAGGGAAGAAGCGAAAGUGACGGUACCUGCAGAAGAAGCGCCGGCUAACUACGUGCCAGCAGCCGCGGUAAUACGUAGGGCGCAAGCGUUAUCCGGAUUUAUUGGGCGUAAAGAGCUCGUAGGCGGUUUGUCGCGUCUGCCGUGAAAGUCCGAGGCUCAACCUCGGAUCUGCGGUGGGUACGGGCAGACUAGAGUGAUGUAGGGGAGACUGGAAUUCCUGGUGUAGCGGUGAAAUGCGCAGAUAUCAGGAGGAACACCGAUGGCGAAGGCAGGUCUCUGGGCAUUUACUGACGCU